AUAACGCACAUUGAUGCGGUUUCACGAGCCCACCUCCCACCCGUGUUUACCGUAACCGCGUUGCCUCGGCGGGCCCACUGGGGCCUGUCCCCGGUCGCCGGGGGGCAUCUGCCCCCGGGCCCGCGCCCGCCGAAGCGCCCUGGAACCCUGUCUGAAUAGUGAGUCUGAGUGAAUGAUUGAAUCAUUAAAACUUUCAACAACGGAUCUCUUGGUUCCGGCAUCGAUGAAGAACGCAGCGAAAUGCGAUAAUUAAUGUGAAUUGCAGAAUUCCGUGAAUCAUCGAGUUUUUGAACGCACAUUGCGCCCCCUGGCAUUCCGGGGGGCAUGCCUGUCCGAGCGUCAUUUCUGCCCUCCAGCCCGGUGGGUGUUGGGCGCUGUCCCCCCGGGGACACGCCCCAAAGGCAGUGGCGGCGCCGCAUGGGUCCUCGAGCGUAUGGGGCUUUGUCACCCGCUCUGAGGGACUCGUCGGCGCUGGUCUUCCCCCAGGCGGCCCGUCUCGGGCUCGUCUUCUUCCGGUUGACCUCCGAUCAGGUAGGGCUACCCGCUGAACUUAAUCAUAUCCUAACCGGAAGGAAAUCAAUAACCGAGUGAUCCCAACCAUUAAGGGGAGGAGCUUGUAAAAAAUUUGUCUUGCAAUCUGUGGUGGGAGCAUAAACAGGUAGGACGUGCGGAGGGUUUC
Molecule: ribosomal RNA, 679 nt
Filed under: Talaromyces wortmannii
Lineage: Eukaryota; Fungi; Ascomycota; Eurotiomycetes; Eurotiales; Trichocomaceae
Description: partial 18S ribosomal RNA
Rfam family: 5.8S ribosomal RNA (bases 189-342)
Source: RNAcentral